Arachis ipaensis is the source of this 704-nucleotide non-coding RNA. The record is from RefSeq and is a predicted model, not a curated record. Lineage: Eukaryota; Viridiplantae; Streptophyta; Magnoliopsida; Fabales; Fabaceae.
CUGGAGACUGCUCAUAUUUGAUAACAUAGAGAAUGGAAGCUUAAAGGAGCAUCUCAAUGAUCCCUUGAAGACUCCCUUAAAUUGGAGGAUGAGGUUGCAGAUUGCUAAUGAAGUUGUAGUAGCACUGAAAUACUUGUUUCUUUUUAGUGAUCCACCAGCAUAUCAUGUCUCCAUCAGCUCAAGCAAUAUUAUGUUAGAUGAGAACUUUGCAGCUAAAAUAAGGAAACAUUUCUUUUCUCACUAGAAAUAGCAUGUUCUAUAUUUGAUUGACAUGCCAGAAGUAAAUAAAGCACUUCAAUGUUAAAAUAGUGUGACACCAGAUUUUCUUCUCUAAUACAGUUAUUAGAUUUUGUCCUUCUUACUCCCAGUGCAAACUCUGUCAUGAUGCCGAAUUCAGGAGGUCCUUAUCUCUCUACAGAAAACAAACCAGGUUAUAUACAUUAGAGAUGUUGAGAGGCUUAGCUUGUUCUACAAUCACCAAGAUUAUACAACUUGAUACAUAAUGCUUCACUGUUUUUGAAAGGAGAUGUAUGAACAUAAUGGAGUUUGUAAUUUGUAGUUUAUAUUUUAGAGAUUUAUAAUUCCUUGUUUUUCUUGUCCUAUGUAUCUAUCUAGUUCAUGAGGGUUUUUCAAUGUGUCUUGUUAGUUUGUACUUUAAAGUUUAUAUGUUGAAGAUUUAUAAAACAAUCUUAGUUGAAUUAAAG